RNAcentral lists this long non-coding RNA (360 nucleotides) under Helianthus annuus (common sunflower). Its description in RNAcentral is "sRNA HanXRQr2_Chr05g0223021". Lineage: Eukaryota; Viridiplantae; Streptophyta; Magnoliopsida; Asterales; Asteraceae. The record is from RNAcentral.
UUUAAGGGGUGUAAAAAUGUUUAUGAGAUUAGUUAAGAGUCCAUUCUAUAACCAAUGUUAAAAAAGUAGAUAAAAUUAAAAAAAAAUAAGUUGGUGGGCGUAGGCUUAUCCUCCAUUUCCAUUGUUUCAUCCUCGGAUGGGCAUCAUCCAAGGACUAUGACGUAGCGCCUACGUGAAGGGUCAUCCUCCAAGGAUGAGGUCAUCCUCCAAGGAUGAGUCUCUCCCAUACCGCAUAGCCUGAUAAAAAUGCACUUCCAAAAUUGCCCCGUAUCCAACCAAUACAACUUCCUAGUAAACUCGUUAAACACAUAUUAAGUGUAUAAACUCAAGAGUCAAAACACCUAGAAUAAACUAAUAUAC